GGACGAACGCUGGCGGCGUGCUUACCACAUGCAAGUCGAACGGAAAGGCCCUGCUUUUGUGGGGUGCUCGAGUGGCGAACGGGUGAGUAACACGUGCGUAACCUGCCCUUGACUUUGGGAUAACUUCAGGAAACUGGGGCUAAUACCGGAUAGGCGCUCCUGCUGCAUGGUGGGGGUUGGAAAGUUUCGGCGGUUGGGGAUGGACUCGCGGCUUAUCAGCUUGUUGGUGGGGUAGUGGCUUACCAAGGCUUUGACGGGUAGCCGGCCUGAGAGGGUGACCGGCCACAUUGGGACUGAGAUACGGCCCAGACUCCUACGGGAGGCAGCAGUGGGGAAUAUUGCACAAUGGGCGGAAGCCUGAUGCAGCAACGCCGCGUGCGGGAUGACGGCCUUCGGGUUGUAAACCGCUUUCGCCUGUGACGAAGCGUGAGUGACGGUAAUGGGUAAAGAAGCACCGGCUAACUACGUG
RNAcentral lists this ribosomal RNA (469 nucleotides) under uncultured bacterium. RNAcentral's name for it is "partial 16S ribosomal RNA". It matches the Rfam family "Bacterial small subunit ribosomal RNA", at positions 27 to 507 of the family's 1533-position model. The record is from RNAcentral.